This 2179-nucleotide long non-coding RNA is filed under the name Aotus nancymaae (Ma's night monkey). RNAcentral describes it as "lncRNA (ENSANAG00000039335.1)". The record is from RNAcentral. Lineage: Eukaryota; Metazoa; Chordata; Mammalia; Primates; Aotidae.
GAGUUAGGUGCCUGUCUGCAGCAACAGGAAGUGGUUAGUCAAGCAGGGCAAUGAUCCGGGGCUGGUGACAUCAGCACACCAGACACACUGGUCUUCAAAUCAUGGCUUCUUAGGUUGUGAUCACUAUGACAAAGAAUGCUUACCGUGGCCAUGAUGUGGCCUUCAAUGACAGCAGUGAUAAAAGUAACGGAGAAGGAAGGGAAGUGGGUGUGAAGACCAGCAGUGUCCUCGGGAGGUUUGCUAUGACCCACACUGGGAAGGACACUGAAAGAGAAACCAAAGAGAAAAGAGAAGCCAAGCAGCAAUCAAUGCUGGCGCCAUCCUCCUCACUGUCUUCUGUGCCGUGUUUCUGGUUGUGCAGAAAAAGUGGAGAUAAUUCUUCUACUGAAAAAAAAAUUUAUCAUCAAAAAGAUUUUUAAAUUUACAUCUUCAAAUACUUCCUACCUUGUGAUUCUCCAAGACACCAAUUUUUUCCCAUGUUAUAUGGUCUUAAUCCACUAUCUUUCCCCUAAUACCUUUAUCUACCUUCAUAUAAGUAUUUCUUAUAUGUCUAUAGUUUUACUUUUAGCUGUAAGCUGUGUAAAAUUCUGAUUAUUAUUCUGGAAAACACUCAAAGAAAAUAUUAUGAGAUUACAUCUAUGCAACGUGACCAAGAAACUCUUCUGAAAACCUUCUUUGCCUGUUAGCAGAGCACAUGAAAGCAUACACAGAAGUUAACAAAGUGUUUCCCUCAAACCUUCAAAUUCAACAUAACGCUUAGAAGAAAAUGUAGAGAAAAAUCUCCAAGGACAUGGAACAAUAAUACAAGGAAGAUGCAAACUUCUGAAUGAAAUGCAGAAGAAUCAAUAUCCACCAAAGAGAAGUUCCAAAAAGUAAGAACAGAGGAAAUGGAGAAGAGGAAGUUACUGAAGAGAUAAUAGAACAGCAUUUUCAUGGGCUAAAGUAAAUAUAAUGCUCCAGACUGAAAAGAAUGGCUGACUGGUAAGCAGGAAAGGCGGGAAAAGAAAUGCAAGGAAAAUCCUAAUAGCUUCCAGAGAGAACAAACAAGACAAACAAGACAGCUAUGAGGAAUCAGAAUCAAACUGGCAUUAGGCUUCUUGCCAGCCUGAGUGAAAACUGGAAUUAAAUGCAGAAAGAUCUUCAAUAUUCUAAGAAAACACCACUGUUGUCUAGUCAUAAAUCUCAAUUAGAUAAGAGAAUGAAAGGUAGAUGGUUUUAAUUUUACAAGAACUUAGCAAAAUUUACCACCUGUGCAUCCUACCUUAAAAAACAACCCCUCAAGUCUAUAAUCCCAGCACUUUGGGAGGCCGAGGCGGGUGGAUCACGAGGUCAAGAGAUCGAGAUCAUCCUGGUCAACAUGGUGAAACCCCAUUUCUACUAAUACAAAAAAAAAAUUAGCUGGGCAUGGUGGCGCAUGCCUGUAAUCCCAGCUACUCAGGAGNNNNNNNNNNNNNNNNNNNNNNNNNCCCUUCUGCCACGUGAGGACACAUAGAAGGUGCUAUCUGUGAGAAACAGGCCCUCACCAGACACCAAAUCUGCUAGUGCCUGGAUCUUGGAGUUCCCAGCCUCUGGAACUGUGAGAAAUAAAUCUAUGUUGUUUAAAAAUCACCUAGUACUAUACAGAGAAUUUGGUUAUAGCAGCUGGAACAGACGAAGACAAUUCUGGAUACCUAACAAUUGUCAACUUCAGGGGUAUUAUAGAUUUAGAUGCCCUGAGUUCAAAUUUCAAAUCCAUUAGUUUUACUUCUAGCCAAUGAGAUCACCUCCCUGAGUCUGGGCUUUUUUGCUACAAAGGUGGGGCAGUAAGAGUGUUCCCCAACUUCUCCCAGUCUGCAGGUCCCCACCGCCCCGCUCCCCGCCUCCCGGAGGAUUUCACUCCUCCUCUUUGUGGUUUUGAAAAAGCCAACUAAAUCCUUUCUAUCCACUUAAAUAAAAGGUGCAUUAAAUUUAGCUGAAAAGAUGAAAUACUUUAUAAAGCACCACACUCUGCACAGGAUGUGGAUGGGCUGAAGACGCAUUUCCAGGAUCACAGGGCAAGCUCUCAUGGGUUCCCUGCAGCCCAUCCAGGGAAGAGCAGGGAUUCAGAGGCCAGGCUCGGCAGGCAGCUGCCUUGGGGCCCAGUCUUUUUUCAAGGGUCAGUUUUGACAUUCUGUAGAACCUGAAAACUGCCUCUCAAAAC